This 472-nucleotide ribosomal RNA is filed under the name uncultured Hydrogenophaga sp. RNAcentral's name for it is "bacterial SSU rRNA". It matches the Rfam family "Bacterial small subunit ribosomal RNA", at positions 906 to 1382 of the family's 1533-position model. The record is from RNAcentral. Lineage: Bacteria; Pseudomonadati; Pseudomonadota; Betaproteobacteria; Burkholderiales; Comamonadaceae.
UGAAUUGGACGGGGACCCGCACAAGCGGUGGAUGAUGUGGUUUAAUUCGAUGCAACGCGAAAACCUUACCCACCUUUGACAUGUACGGAAGUUGCCAGAGACGGCUUCGUGCUCGAAAGAGAGCCGUAACACAGGUGCUGCAUGGCUGUCGUCAGCUCGUGUCGUGAGAUGUUGGGUUAAGUCCCGCAACGAGCGCAACCCUUGUCAUUAGUUGCUACGAAAGGGCACUCUAAUGAGACUGCCGGUGACAAACCGGAGGAAGGUGGGGAUGACGUCAAGUCCUCAUGGCCCUUAUAGGUGGGGCUACACACGUCAUACAAUGGCUGGUACAAAGGGUUGCCAACCCGCGAGGGGGAGCCAAUCCCAUAAAGCCAGUCGUAGUCCGGAUCGCAGUCUGCAACUCGACUGCGUGAAGUCGGAAUCGCUAGUAAUCGUGGAUCAGCAUGUCACGGUGAAUACGUUCCCGGGUCUU